UACGAAGGGGGCUAGCGUUGCUCGGAAUCACUGGGCGUAAAGGGUGCGUAGGCGGGUCUUUAAGUCAGGGGUGAAAUCCUGGAGCUCAACUCCAGAACUGCCUUUGAUACUGAAGAUCUUGAGUUCGGGAGAGGUGAGUGGAACUGCGAGUGUAGAGGUGAAAUUCGUAGAUAUCUGGAGGAACACCGGUGGCGAAGGCGGCAUCCUGGACCGAGAUUGACGCUGAACAGCGAAAGCUAGGGGAGCAAACGGG
RNAcentral lists this ribosomal RNA (253 nucleotides) under uncultured bacterium. RNAcentral's name for it is "partial 16S ribosomal RNA". It matches the Rfam family "Bacterial small subunit ribosomal RNA", at positions 524 to 776 of the family's 1533-position model. The record is from RNAcentral.